Molecule: ribosomal RNA, 216 nt
Filed under: Glomeromycotina sp.
Lineage: Eukaryota; Fungi; Glomeromycota
Description: partial small subunit ribosomal RNA
Rfam family: Eukaryotic small subunit ribosomal RNA (bases 44-216)
Source: RNAcentral
GGGUCAGUAGGUUGGUCGUGCCACCGGUACGUACUGGUCUCGCUGAUUCCUCCUUCCUGAAGAACCGUAAUGCCAUUAAUUUGGUGUUGCGGGGAAACAGGACUGUUACUUUGAAAAAAUUAGAGUGUUUAAAGCAAGCUAACGCCUGAAUACAUUAGUAUGGAAUAAUGAAAUAGGACGAUCGAUCCUAUUUUGUUGGUUUCUAGGAUUGACGUA